This 1343-nucleotide ribosomal RNA is filed under the name uncultured bacterium. RNAcentral describes it as "16S ribosomal RNA". It matches the Rfam family "Bacterial small subunit ribosomal RNA", at positions 28 to 1378 of the family's 1533-position model. The record is from RNAcentral.
GACGAACGCUGGCGGCGUGCUUAACACAUGCAAGUCGAACGGAAAGGCCCUGCUUUUGUGGGGUGCUCGAGUGGCGAACGGGUGAGUAACACGUGAGUAACCUGCCCUUGACUUUGGGAUAACUUCAGGAAACUGGGGCUAAUACCGGAUAGGAGCUCCUGCUGCAUGGUGGGGGUUGGAAAGUUUCGGCGGUUGGGGAUGGACCCGCGGCUUAUCAGCUUGUUGGUGGGGUAGUGGCUUACCAAGGCUUUGACGGGUAGCCGGCCUGAGAGGGUGACCGGCCACAUUGGGACUGAGAUACGGCCCAGACUCCUACGGGAGGCAGCAGUGGGGAAUAUUGCACAAUGGGCGGAAGCCUGAUGCAGCAACGCCGCGUGCGGGAUGACGGCCUUCGGGUUGUAAACCGCUUUCGCCUGUGACGAAGCGUGAGUGACGGUAAUGGGUAAAGAAGCACCGGCUAACUACGUGCCAGCAGCCGCGGUGAUACGUAGGGUGCGAGCGUUGUCCGGAUUUAUUGGGCGUAAAGGGCUCGUAGGUGGUUGAUCGCGUCGGAAGUGUAAUCUUGGGGCUUAACCCUGAGCGUGCUUUCGAUACGGGUUGACUUGAGGAAGGUAGGGGAGAAUGGAAUUCCUGGUGGAGCGGUGGAAUGCGCAGAUAUCAGGAGGAACACCAGUGGCGAAGGCGGUUCUCUGGGCCUUUCCUGACGCUGAGGAGCGAAAGCGUGGGGAGCGAACAGGCUUAGAUACCCUGGUAGUCCACGCUGUAAACGGUGGGUACUAGGUGUGGGGUCCAUUCCACGGGUUCCGUGCCGUAGCUAACGCUUUAAGUACCCCGCCUGGGGAGUACGGCCGCAAGGCUAAAACUCAAAGGAAUUGACGGGGCCCCGCACAAGCGGCGGAGCAUGCGGAUUAAUUCGAUGCAACGCGUAGAACCUUACCUGGGUUUGACAUGGAUCGGGAGCGCUCAGAGAUGGGUGUGCCUCUUUUGGGGUCGGUUCACAGGUGGUGCAUGGCUGUCGUCAGCUCGUGUCGUGAGAUGUUGGGUUAAGUCCCGCAACGAGCGCAACCCUUGUUCACUGUUGCCAGCACGUUAUGGUGGGGACUCAGUGGAGACCGCCGGGGUCAACUCGGAGGAAGGUGGGGAUGACGUCAAGUCAUCAUGCCCCUUAUGUCCAGGGCUUCACGCAUGCUACAAUGGCUGGUACAGAGAGUGGCGAGCCUGUGAGGGUGAGCGAAUCUCGGAAAGCCGGUCUCAGUUCGGAUUGGGGUCUGCAACUCGACCUCAUGAAGUCGGAGUCGCUAGUAAUCGCAGAUCAGCAACGCUGCGGUGAAUACGUUCCCGGG